GGCAGUGCAGGGAGGCUGCAGGCAUCCAGCGGCGGCCUGGAGGCCCAGCGCCCACACCUGCAGCCUCUGAGGGCCCCACCAAAUCCUGCCGGGACCCUCCCAGCAGCAGGCGCGCGGAUGCUCACAGGGCACUCCAGCGGGGCCGGCUCGUCGGGGAGCUGAGCGCAGCGCAUCAGCACUUUCAGCUCUAUCAUUCCCUUACAGACUUUUAACCUCCUGGACGGAAGAAUUCAGUCCGGCUUGUUGCCUCUCUCCGCUGACUCGAGAAUCCAGCCGGAGUCGCUACGUCACACUUCCUGCAGCAGCCCAAGGGUCAGGAGUUCACCCGCUGAACCGUUUGCCUGGGGAGCCGUGGUCCUAAUAAGCAUGACAUCCUCCCCCAAAGCUUCAGCAGCUGUGUUUCCCCCUGGCUCGGAAGGGAAGGAACCAAAUAAAGCAGCAGGAGGAAUUACGUGGUGCAGAACUGCUCAGCGUGGGAUUCCAGGUCCAAAGAGAACUUUCUAGACUGCCAAACCCACCCUAGGUGCAGAGAACUGCAAUCCAGCUGAGCUUGCAUCUUCAAUUCUCGGUCUACACUUUUCACUGGAUGAAGCAGAAAUCUGGAAGGCUGAACCACCAGCUGAUGGCUUAAGGCCCCCAAGCAUCUCUCCCAGGCGAUGGAAGACUGGCAGAGGGCUAGAAGCUGGGCAGACAAAAGUGUCCCAGUCCCUAGAACCUGUGCUCCUACAUUAUUCCUGGGAGCACCAACGUAAAAGAGAUUUCUGAGAACUCACAACCUACCACUCACCACCAAAGGCAACAGGAGCGGAGAGAUCGAGGGGCUGCAAAGUUUGGGAGGGGGUUGAAGAGGAACUAAACACCUGACUAGAUCAGAACAGGCGAGAGAGAAGGGGGCUCCUGGCUGUUAGUCUAGGACUCAAAAUUAUUAUUAUUUUUAAAACCAGUAGGAAAAAAAUUUAACCUGAAUGAAACACCUCUGUGUACUAGGCUAGGGAGCACACAGCCAAGUAUAAAGGGCAGAGCCCAUUUGGGGGGCAAGAC
Molecule: long non-coding RNA, 1041 nt
Filed under: Capra hircus (goat)
Lineage: Eukaryota; Metazoa; Chordata; Mammalia; Artiodactyla; Bovidae
Description: lncRNA (ENSCHIG00010026387.1)
Source: RNAcentral